UAAGCAUAUCAAUAAGCGGAGGAAAAGAAACUAACAAGGAUUCCCUUAGUAACGGCGAGUGAACCGGGAAGAGCUCAAAUUUGAAAUCUGGCUGUCUUCGAUAGUCCGAGUUGUAAUCUAUAGAAGCGUUUUCCGUGCUGAACUGUGUAUAAGUCCCUUGGAACAGGGUAUCAAAGAGGGUGACAAUCCCGUACUUUACACAAUCAUCAGUGCUCUGUGAUACGUUCUCUACGAGUCGAGUUGUUUGGGAAUGCAGCUCAAAAUGGGUGGUAAAUUCCAUCUAAAGCUAAAUAUUGGCGAGAGACCGAUAGCGAACAAGUACCGUGAGGGAAAGAUGAAAAGCACUUUGGAAAGAGAGUUAAACAGUACGUGAAAUUGUUAAAAGGGAAACGAUUGAAGUCAGUCGUGUUUAUUGGAUUCAGCCGGUCUUCGGUGUACUUCCUUUAAACGGGUCAACAUCAGUUUUGUCCGGUGGAUAAAGGCAGUAGGAAUGUGGCUCCCUCGGGAGUGUUAUAGCCUAUUGUCACAUACACUGGAGGAGACUGAGGACUGCAGCUCGCCUUUUGGCCGGGGUUCGCCCACGUUCGAGCUUAGGAUGUUGACAUAAUGGCUUUAAACGACC
Molecule: ribosomal RNA, 622 nt
Filed under: Apiotrichum laibachii
Lineage: Eukaryota; Fungi; Basidiomycota; Tremellomycetes; Trichosporonales; Trichosporonaceae
Description: LSU rRNA
Rfam family: Eukaryotic large subunit ribosomal RNA
Source: RNAcentral